Molecule: long non-coding RNA, 322 nt
Organism: Rhipicephalus microplus (southern cattle tick)
Lineage: Eukaryota; Metazoa; Arthropoda; Arachnida; Ixodida; Ixodidae
Source: RefSeq, a predicted model, not a curated record
AUGCUCCGACAGCUGUACGCGUUCCCGGAGGUGUUCAACUGCAACAGGCACCUGGUGGCCAACUUGAGACCCCUGCAGGAGAUUGGCCGUACCAGGAUGCUCUACAGAACAUUCAGUUCCGCUCCAUCAAAGCUACGGUUGAGCAUCACCACAGCGCUGGCAUCCAUAUUGUUUACCUUCAGAGGUCUAAUUACGUCUCUGAAAUGACGCCAUCAGAUUGUUUUCGCGCUCAGUUAAAUUCCCCACAUAUGCUGGCGAGUUCGUGAACUUAGUAAUCUUCCGAACGCUUAUAAAAUGACGUCAAUAAAUGAUGACUCGCAAA